RNAcentral lists this ribosomal RNA (382 nucleotides) under uncultured bacterium. Its description in RNAcentral is "bacterial SSU rRNA". It matches the Rfam family "Bacterial small subunit ribosomal RNA", at positions 126 to 507 of the family's 1533-position model. The record is from RNAcentral.
CUGCCCUCGAGGUCUGACAUAACCCGUCGAAAGGACGGGCGUAACAUCAGAUGAUAUAUAAUCACGACAUCGUGGAAAUAUCAAAUCUUCGGAGCCUUGGGAUGAGCCUGCGUCUGAUUAGGUAGUUGGCGGAGUAAUAGCCCACCAAGCCUACGAUCAAUAGCUGGUCUGAGAGGAUGAUCAGCCACACUGGAACUGAGACACGGUCCAGACUCCUACGGGAGGCAGCAGUAAGGAAUAUUGCUCAAUGGGGGGAAACCCUGAAGCAGCAACGCCGCGUGAAGGAUGAAAUACUUUGUAUGUAAACUUCUGUAAGAUGGGAAAAAUAUUCUCCUCGGGAGAAUUGAUUGUACCAUCAGAGUAAGCCCCGGCUAACUACGUG